GGGGAUAACAGGCUGAUCGCCUCCGAGCGUCCAUAGCGGCGAGGCGGUUUGGCACCUCGAUGUCGGCCCAUCGCAUCCUGGGGCUGAAGGCGGUCCCAAGGGUUUGGCUGUUCGCCAAUUAAAGCGGUACGCGAGCUGGGUUCAGACCGGCGUGAGCCAGGUCGGUCCCUAUCUGCCGUGGGCGUAGGAAUCUUGAGGGGAUUCUUCCUUAGUACGAGAGGACUGGGAAGAACUGACCUCUGGUGUACCAGUUGUCGCGCUAGCGGCACGGCUGGAUAGCUAUGUCGGGAAAGGAUAACCGCUGAAAGCAUCUAAGCGGGAAGCCCACCCCAAGAUGAGGAUUCCAUGUCCCGAUUCGUCGGGACGAGAGCCCCCUGGAAGACGACCAGGUUGAUAGGCCGGAAGUGUAAGGCGCGAAAACGCCUCAGCUAACCGGUACUAACGGGCGAUUGCUUGAUCAC
RNAcentral lists this non-coding RNA (461 nucleotides) under Phycisphaerae bacterium SM23_33. Its description in RNAcentral is "bacterial LSU rRNA". It matches the Rfam family "Bacterial large subunit ribosomal RNA", at positions 2470 to 2925 of the family's 2925-position model. Lineage: Bacteria; Pseudomonadati; Planctomycetota; Phycisphaerae. The record is from RNAcentral.